Long non-coding RNA from Magallana angulata, 449 nucleotides. RefSeq lists it as uncharacterized. The transcript is spliced from 3 exons. NCBI's taxonomy places the organism in Eukaryota, Metazoa, Mollusca, Bivalvia, Ostreida, Ostreidae. The record is from RefSeq and is a predicted model, not a curated record.
CUUGUUCUGUAUUGUAAACUCAUUAUCAGAUGGGGGAGCGAUGUUGUCCCAUUGGAAGUGCAGUCUCGGGAAAAAGUUAAAUUAAAGAAAUAAAGAGAAGAUAAAAGAGAAGUGUUACCCAGAACACCAAAAGCCCUCUCAACGCAGUUUCUUGUCUUGAUGUGACUGGCAUUGUACUUCUCCUGUUGUCCUGCUUGGGGCGUGAGGAAAGGAGUCAUUAGCCAUGGACGAAGGGGGUAGCCACUGUCCCCUAAAAGCCAUCCUCCACCUGGCAGCUGGUCCAUUAUCUCGGGAAUGCUCGAGUUUGCAAGUCAGCGGUCACGAUUCCCUGCAUAUUUAUGGCAUCAAACCCUUUCCUGCACACAAAAACAUGCUCAUCGUCUCCAGUCAUUCCCAUGAUUGGAAUCAGAGUUCCAUCAAUGGCACCAACUACGUUGGGGAAGUUUGCC